UAAAAAUCCCAGAGAACUGAACCGAUAAGUUUCGUUCCCAUCAAAGAAAGUGAGCGGCGUCGAAUUAUCAGCAGUAGCAAGUCGACGGCCAUGGAUUAAUCGGUCACGGUGAGCCAUAGUAGCAUAAUACUGGAGACUACCCUUGUCUGGCAAGUCAUCAAGGGCUAAAAUCCCCUUGACCGGAUCCGAAUACCGGUGGUGAAUAUCGAAGCCGAAUGUGCCAAACCCGUUACAACUCCUCGUUAACAUUAACAGUAACAAGAAAAGCAAAGAAUUGUAACAACAAGAACUCGAAGAAGACAUUAGAAUUGGAAAGAAAAUAAAUGGAAGAUUUGGGCUUGAGUGAUUCAGAGAGAAGGAAGAAAGAGGAGGAGAAGAAGGAGACCUCUCUCGACGGGAGAAAGGAGUGUCGUUUUAAGAGAGAGGUGUAAGGU
This 434-nucleotide unclassified non-coding RNA is filed under the name Hevea brasiliensis (rubber tree). Lineage: Eukaryota; Viridiplantae; Streptophyta; Magnoliopsida; Malpighiales; Euphorbiaceae. The record is from RNAcentral.